AGGUUCUGAGCUUUUCUUUCAGCUAGGUUACAGACUGGGUCCUCUACAAGUCGGCUAGUUCGCUGGGCCAGAAGAAAGGAACUGCGGACACCAUUCAGGAUGCGGAUCGAUGCAGCUUCCUAAUAUCCUUGGACAGACCUGAUUGACAUUUCAGUUUGUCAGCUUCCAGAACUCUACUGUUGACUCAGUUCUAUCUCUGUUUAAUUAGAAGGGAAAGGCUGUUAAACAGAAACACUUAAUUGUGCCCAUA
RNAcentral lists this long non-coding RNA (250 nucleotides) under Mus spicilegus (steppe mouse). Its description in RNAcentral is "lncRNA (ENSMSIG00000032189.1)". Lineage: Eukaryota; Metazoa; Chordata; Mammalia; Rodentia; Muridae. The record is from RNAcentral.